Molecule: ribosomal RNA, 243 nt
Filed under: uncultured microorganism
Description: partial 16S ribosomal RNA
Rfam family: Archaeal small subunit ribosomal RNA
Source: RNAcentral
GUGCACCAGUCGCGAAUCCUCCGCAAUACACGGAAAGUGUGACGGGGCCAUCCCGAGUGCCGUCCGCUGAGGACGGCUUUUCCCCAGUGUACACAGCUGGGGGAAUAAGGAGAGGGCAAGCCUGGUGUCAGCCGCCGCGGUAAGUACCAGCUCGUACCGAGUGGUGGGGACGCUUAUUGGGCCUAAAAGCAAGUCCGUAGCCGGCUGGGCAAGUCCUCCGUUAAAUCCAACGAUUCAAUCGUU